UUAAUUUAUCUAAAGUGAUUCUUUUCGCUUGAAAAUUGUUGAGAGAAAGACUAUAUACUCUAUACUUAACUUAGAAGAAAAGUAAUUGUAGAGGCGGAAGCAUAAAAAUGUGCUUUUUGUUUGGGUCAUUUGGAGUUAGAGGUUCACUUGGUUUCUAUGUAUGAUUUUUCGAUAGUAAUUUGGUAUGAGAUUUUUGGUGGUUUGAACUAUACUUUUGUAGUGUUUUGGGUGAGUUGUCUUACUUAUUUUUUAUAUUUGUAUCUUUAGUAGAUAAUGAAAAAAAGGUAUGAUAUACUGCUGUUUGAG
Molecule: long non-coding RNA, 306 nt
Filed under: Cicer arietinum (chickpea)
Lineage: Eukaryota; Viridiplantae; Streptophyta; Magnoliopsida; Fabales; Fabaceae
Description: long non-coding RNA (CARI_LNC000113)
Source: RNAcentral